Rhagoletis pomonella (apple maggot) is the source of this 1128-nucleotide long non-coding RNA. RefSeq lists it as uncharacterized. The record is from RefSeq and is a predicted model, not a curated record. The transcript is spliced from 2 exons. NCBI's taxonomy places the organism in Eukaryota, Metazoa, Arthropoda, Insecta, Diptera, Tephritidae.
UUGUAUCAUGGUGACGAUCAGCGUGCAUAAAAAUUUUAAAGUGAGAAAACCAAUAAAAAAAAGAGCUUAAAUUGAAUAGAGUGAAACCCCAGACGCCAGAGGAUUUGUGCGUGCGUUUCGCGGAUUAACCAGUGGAAAGCAGUAAGAAGAAAGACAUCCACCCGAAAAGUGCAGCGGCAUAGAGGAAGCAGCGAAGGGAAGCCCAGAUUUAAGCACAAUACAUGUGAGGAGAUCUGAAGCGAGUUUCUGGGUGGCAACCCAAGCAACCUCUAAGCAACAAUCAACUAUCUGGAGGCAUAGCGCAGUAAUACGAAACCGCUAACCACCAACAUCAAGAGCACGGUCAUAAUCGCACCGCCGCGCGGCAAUAGCAGCAGCACCGCCAGAGCGCGGUCUUCACCGCCGCAUCGCGGUAUCCAGUGCCGCCAACCAGCGGCGGAGCAACAGUAGCGCCAGAGCGCGGUCUUGACCACCACCGCGCGGUAUUCAAUUGCCGGAGUAGCGGCAACAGCAACAGCCAGAGCGCGGCUAUAACCGCAACCGAAGCGCGGCAGUAGCAGCAGCCCCGCCAGAGCGCGGCCUUUACCGCCGCAUCGCGAUAUCCAGUGCCGCCAACCAGCGACAAGAGCAACAGUAGCGCCCGAGCGCGACCUUAACCACGACAGCGCUAUAUCCGCGUGCUGGAGUAGCGCACCAACAACAGCAGCAGCAGCACCGCCAGAUCGCGGCCUUAACCGCGACAGCGCGGCAUCCACGUACCGCAAACCAGCGACGGGAGCAACAGUAGCGCUAGAGCGCGGUCUUCACCGCCGCAUCGCGGUAUCCAGUACCGCUAACCACUAACAACAAGAGCGCGGUCAUAAUCGCACCGCCACGCGGCAGUAGCAACAGCACCGCCCGAGUGCGACCUUAUCCACGACAGCGCGAUAUCCGCGUGCCGGAGUAGCGCACCAACAACAGCAGCAGCAGCACCGCCAGAGCGUGGCCUUAACCGCGACAGCGCGGCAUCCACGUACCGCAAACCGGCGACAGCAACAACACCAACAACCACCAGUUACAACAACAGCAGUGCCAACCUACUAAGGCCUGCUGCAUCGGAGGGUGAGUCUUUUCGGGCCAUAAAAUAAA